Molecule: long non-coding RNA, 216 nt
Organism: Alligator sinensis (Chinese alligator)
Lineage: Eukaryota; Metazoa; Chordata; Crocodylia; Alligatoridae
Exons: 3
Source: RefSeq, a predicted model, not a curated record
CAGAGCUUAUUGCUUCACAUUAGUUGCAUGUGUAGAUGCACCCGCUGUCUUGGAAGUGAUUUGCUUUGGAAAUCUCCAGGACAAGAAGGAAACACAGUGAUGUUUUUAAUAUUAUCAUGAAGUGGAGUGAGGACCAGACAGUUGCAGCCACUAAAUAUUGGGUUCAGCUAAUCAUUGUUGCAAAUAAGAAAUUGGUACAUCACUGACAACAUACCU